GAUGAAGAACGUAGCGAAAUGCGAUACGUAAUGUGAAUUGCAGAAUUCAGUGAAUCAUCGAGUCUUUGAACGCACAUUGCGCCCCCUGGUAUUCCGGGGGGCAUGCCUGUCCGAGCGUCAUUACAACCCUCAAGCUCAGCUUGGUGUUGGGCCCCGCCGCCCCGGCGGGCCCUAAAGUCAGUGGCGGUGCCGUCCGGCUCCGAGCGUAGUAAUUCUUCUCGCUCUGGAGGUCCGGUCGCGUGCUCGCCAGCAACCCCCAAUUUUUUCAGGUUGACCUCGGAUCAGGUAGGGAUACCCGCUGAACUUAAGCAUAUCAAUAAGCGGAGGA
This 328-nucleotide unclassified non-coding RNA is filed under the name soil metagenome. RNAcentral describes it as "partial contains 5.8S ribosomal RNA, internal transcribed spacer 2, and large subunit ribosomal RNA". The stretch from base 1 to 120 matches the Rfam family "5.8S ribosomal RNA", at positions 35 to 154 of the family's 154-position model. The record is from RNAcentral.